GRACGGAAACGAUGGAAGCUUGCUUCCAGGCGUCGAGUGGCGGACGGGUGAGUAAUGCUUGGGAAUCUGCCUAAUAGUGGGGAACAACUCGGGGAAACUCGGGCUAAUACCGCAUAAUCUCUUCGGAGGAAAGGGGGCCUCUACAUGUAAGCUCUCGCUAAUAGAUGAGCCCAAGUCAGAUUAGCUUGUUGGUAAGGUAACGGCUUACCAAGGCUACGAUCUGUAGCUGGUCUGAGAGGAUGAUCAGCCACACUGGGACUGAGACACGGCCCAGACUCCUACGGGAGGCAGCAGUGGGGAAUAUUGCACAAUGGGCGAAAGCCUGAUGCAGCAAUGCCGCGUGUGUGAAGAAGGCUCUAGGGUUGUAAAGCACUUUCAAUAAGGAAGAAAAACAUAAGGCUAAUAACCUUAUGCAUUGACGUAACUUAUACAAGAAGCACCGGCUAAUUCCGUGCCAGCAGCCGCGGUAAUACGGAAGGUGCAAGCGUUAAUCGGAAUUACUGGGCGUAAAGCGCGCGUAGGCUGUUAUCUAAGUCGGAUGUGAAAUCCUCGGGCUCAACCUGGGAACUGCAUCCGAAACUGAAUAACUAGAGUAUGGGAGAGGUAAGUAGAAUUUCCGGUGUAGCGGUGAAAUGCGUAGAUAUCGGAAGGAAUACCAGUGGCGAAGGCGGCUUACUGGACCAAUACUGACGCUGAGGUGCGAAAGCGUGGGGAGCGAACAGGAUUAGAUACCCUGGUAGUCCACGCCGUAAACGAUGAGAACUAGAUGUUGGGAGGGUUAGCCUCUCAGUGUCGCAGCUAACGCAUUAAGUUCUCC
Molecule: ribosomal RNA, 817 nt
Filed under: uncultured Gammaproteobacteria bacterium
Lineage: Bacteria; Pseudomonadati; Pseudomonadota; Gammaproteobacteria
Description: SSU rRNA
Rfam family: Bacterial small subunit ribosomal RNA
Source: RNAcentral